AUGACAAUUAUCUCAAAAUCUAAAAUUAUGUGUGUGAAAAAAAACCUGCAACUUGGUCGUUGUAUUACCUAUGGUUCCAGUUGAGCGAUUCAGGCUGAGUUUAUUGGAGUGUCCAGUUUUAAUACAAACUGCGUAAUUAUACGUGAUUCAUAAUUCAAUGGAUAUUUUUUAUACCUUGAUGCACAAUACUAUUUUAUAUUAUAAAAGCAGCAG
This 213-nucleotide long non-coding RNA is filed under the name Mytilus galloprovincialis (Mediterranean mussel). Lineage: Eukaryota; Metazoa; Mollusca; Bivalvia; Mytilida; Mytilidae. The record is from RNAcentral.